GCGAAUAAACAUCUAUCUGUUCUACCGCCAGGUGACUCGAUCAUCAGCGUGAGUGAUGGAAAGAAAAUCGUCUGCUGCUCGAUGCCAUUUCAUUUCUUUGUCAUCGGUCAUGGCCUCAUGUUUGGUAAGUGGAAAUUGAAGUCGUGAUUUAUUCCCGCGUUCUUGGAAAGGUUGGAACGAAAAUAUUUUACCAACUUAGUUGAUGUGUACUCAUCAUACGUUUUCUAAUUGAUAAAUGUAUUCCAUUCCUGAUUGAGUAACUUAGAACAGGAUUUUUAUUGACUGGAGCUGAAUGCCUGAUCUCACGAUCAAUCAAUGGAGACUCCUUCUAUUUCUGAAAUGCUAUUUUCAAUGUAUCCUGUACAUCUAUACGAGUGUGAAUUUGUUCACGAUUCUCCUCCCCUUCACAGGUUGCAAAUUUGCAACUUAAACUGAAUAGAUUGACUUCAUUUCAAGGUGAUGCUGUAAGUUUUUUUUUAUUGGCUGCAGUUGCCUAUGUAUUCAUUCGUCUACAUUCGCAUGUAAGGCUACACCGAGUUGUCGAAAUCUUUUUGUAGAAGCCAACCAGUGAAGCGAUUGUGGUGCUGGAAAUU
Daphnia pulicaria is the source of this 593-nucleotide long non-coding RNA. RefSeq lists it as uncharacterized. The record is from RefSeq and is a predicted model, not a curated record. The transcript has 4 exons. Lineage: Eukaryota; Metazoa; Arthropoda; Branchiopoda; Diplostraca; Daphniidae.